GAUGAAGAACGCAGUGAAAUGCGAUACGUAAUGUGAAUUGCAGAAUUCAGUGAAUCAUCGAAUCUUUGAACGCAUAUUGCGCUCUCUGGUAUUCCGGAGAGCAUGCUUGUUUGAGUAUCAGUAGACACCUCAACUUCCAUAUCUUUUUUGAAAUGGGAGUUGGACUUGAGUGAUCCCAACGCUUUUCCUCACCGAAAAGUGGCGGGUUACUUGAAAUGCAGGUGCAGCUGGACUUUUCUCUGAGCUAUAAGCAUAUCUAUUUAGUCUGCCUAAAAAACAGAUUAUUACCUUUGCUGCAGCUAACAUAAAGGAGAUUAGUUCUUGUGCUGACUGAUGCAGGAUUCACAAAGACAGGCUUCGGCCGACUUUGUAAACUCGAUCUCAAAUCAAGUAAGACUACCCGCUGAACUUAAGCAUAUCAAUAAGCGGAGGA
RNAcentral lists this unclassified non-coding RNA (433 nucleotides) under soil metagenome. RNAcentral's name for it is "partial contains 5.8S ribosomal RNA, internal transcribed spacer 2, and large subunit ribosomal RNA". The stretch from base 1 to 120 matches the Rfam family "5.8S ribosomal RNA", at positions 35 to 154 of the family's 154-position model. The record is from RNAcentral.